GAGAGUUUGAUCCUGGCUCAGGACGAACGCUGGCGGCGUGCCUAACACAUGCAAGUCGAGCGGAGGGGAUAGGAGCUUGCUCCUUGAACCUUAGCGGCGGACGGGUGAGUAACACGUGGGUAACCUGCCCUUGAGAGGGGGAUAACAGGUCGAAAGGCCUGCUAAUACCGCAUAACGCUAAGAUGCCGCAUGGCGUCUUAGCCAAAGGUUAAUUCCGCUCAAGGAUGGGCCCGCGGCCCAUUAGCUAGUUGGUGAGGUAAUGGCUCACCAA
RNAcentral lists this ribosomal RNA (271 nucleotides) under Thermobrachium celere DSM 8682. RNAcentral's name for it is "Small Subunit Ribosomal RNA; ssuRNA; SSU rRNA". It matches the Rfam family "Bacterial small subunit ribosomal RNA", at positions 7 to 271 of the family's 1533-position model. The record is from RNAcentral. Lineage: Bacteria; Bacillati; Bacillota; Clostridia; Eubacteriales; Clostridiaceae.